AAAUUGAAGAGUUUGAUCAUGGCUCAGAUUGAACGCUGGCGGCAGGCCUAACACAUGCAAGUCGAACGGUAACAGAAAUCAGCUUGCUGAUUUGCUGACGAGUGGCGGACGGGUGAGUAAUGUCUGGGAAACUGCCU
This 137-nucleotide ribosomal RNA is filed under the name Escherichia coli. RNAcentral describes it as "partial 16S ribosomal RNA". It matches the Rfam family "Bacterial small subunit ribosomal RNA", at positions 1 to 131 of the family's 1533-position model. Lineage: Bacteria; Pseudomonadati; Pseudomonadota; Gammaproteobacteria; Enterobacterales; Enterobacteriaceae. The record is from RNAcentral.